UACUGCUGUGAUACAACACCUUGA
This 24-nucleotide unclassified non-coding RNA is filed under the name Mus musculus (house mouse). Its description in RNAcentral is "oocyte_clustered_small_RNA12382". The record is from RNAcentral. Lineage: Eukaryota; Metazoa; Chordata; Mammalia; Rodentia; Muridae.